RNAcentral lists this transfer RNA (72 nucleotides) under Daphnia pulex (common water flea). RNAcentral's name for it is "tRNA-Glu". It matches the Rfam family "tRNA". Rfam says of the family: Transfer RNA (tRNA) molecules are approximately 80 nucleotides in length. Their secondary structure includes four short double-helical elements and three loops (D, anti-codon, and T loops). Lineage: Eukaryota; Metazoa; Arthropoda; Branchiopoda; Diplostraca; Daphniidae. The record is from RNAcentral.
UCCCAUAUGGUCUAGUGGCUAGGAUACCUGGCUUUCACCCAAGAGGCUCGGGUUCGAUUCCCGGUAUGGGAA